GAUGAACGCUAGCUACAGGCUUAACACAUGCAAGUCGAGGGGAAACGACAUCGAAAGCUUGCUUUUGGUGGGCGUCGACCGGCGCACGGGUGAGUAACGCGUAUCCAACCUGCCCACCACUUGGGGAUAACCUUGCGAAAGUAAGACUAAUACCCCAAUGAUAUCCCACGAAGGCAUCCGAAUGGGAUUAAAGAUUUAUCGGUGAUGGAUGGGGAUGCGUCUGAUUAGCUUGUUGGCGGGUAACGCCCACAAGGCUACGAUCAGUAGGGGUUCUGAGAGGAAGGUCCCCCANAUUGGAACCUGAGGACCACGGUCCAAAACUCCUACGGGAGGCAGC
This 337-nucleotide ribosomal RNA is filed under the name uncultured bacterium. RNAcentral's name for it is "bacterial SSU rRNA". It matches the Rfam family "Bacterial small subunit ribosomal RNA", at positions 28 to 352 of the family's 1533-position model. The record is from RNAcentral.